GCAACUUGGACCGGGAGGUGUGCAGCCGCUGUGGGCAGCCUGUGGACCCGGCACUGCUCAAGGUGCUGCGCCUGGCGCAGCUCAUCAUUGAGUACCUGCUCCACUGCCAGGAUUGCCUGAGUGCCAGCGUUGCCCAGCUGGAGGCACGGCUGCAGACCAGCCUGGGCCAGCAGCAGCGUGGUCAGCAGGAGCUGGGACGCCAGGCUGACGAGCUCAAGGGUGUGCGGGAGGAGAGCCGCCGGCGUCGCAAGAUGAUCAGCACCCUGCAGCAGCUGCUAAUGCAGACAGGCACCCACAGCUACCACACGUGCCACCUGUGUGACAAGACAUUCAUGAAUGCCACCUUUCUCCGGGGCCACAUCCAGCGCAGGCAUGCAGGCGUGGCAGAAGGUGGAAAACAGAAGAAACAGGAACAGCCAGUGGAAGAGGUGUUAGAAGAGCUACGGGCCAAGCUAAAGUGGACCCAAGGGGAGCUGGAAGCCCAGAGGGAGGCAGAGAGGCAGCGGCAGCUCCAGGAAGCAGAGCUCAUUCAUCAGAGGGAAAUAGAAGCUAAGAAAGAAUUUGAUAAAUGGAAAGAACAAGAGUGGACCAAACUUUAUGGGGAAAUAGAUAAACUAAAAAAAUUAUUUUGGGAUGAAUUUAAAAAUGUCGCCAAGCAGAACUCUACACUAGAAGAGGUACCCAACAUAAAAGGCUUUUUAAAGUUUC
This 708-nucleotide small RNA is filed under the name Pan troglodytes (chimpanzee). RNAcentral's name for it is "retained intron". The record is from RNAcentral. Lineage: Eukaryota; Metazoa; Chordata; Mammalia; Primates; Hominidae.